UAGAUAGAAAUCAUCCAAACCCGAAAUGUAUCAAUUAAAGACUUAAUCUUUCAACCAAUCAAAUCCCUACAAGAGACCUAACUUAUGAACCCUAGUUUUCCCCAUGUACUCAAAUCUCCACAAAAAGCAGAUGCAAUACGACACUAACAACACUUGCGAAGCAAAACGACUCCAAAUUUUGCCUUUUUGGAUGGGAUGAAACCCCCCUAAAAAAACCCGAUUCUUUCUCCGAGAAAAUCCAAUGGAGAGAGAGAGAGAGAGAGAGAACCCUGGAAAGAAGGGCGAGGAUCAAAAAGGGCUUUUUGGAGAUGAUGGAGACGAAGAGUGAGAGAGACGGUCCCAGAGCCACGAGCGCGUAGCCGAUACCCGCCGCGACGUCAUCCGUUACCGCCGCACUUCGCUACGACCUGCCAGGGCUUGAAGUCUCAAUCGAGAUGCGCGAAUCGUUUGUCCGAAACCCAUCUACGAACACGAAGGAUCGAGUUCAUCAUCUCUUCGCUGAUUCGUAGCCCUGUUCCGGGUUUGUCAUAUCAAAACUACGACUGCAACAAGAAUCAUACGGGAAGAGAGCGAGUAAUUCCUCCAAAGAGUUCUUCAAUGUCAACAAGAAUCCUAUGUAGAUUUAAGUCUUCGAUCGUAGAUCAAGUUUCCACCUUUCUGACAUCCCACAGAUUCAACUGGCGCACAUCUUCAGAAGACGUCACUUUGCAAAUACCCUCGAUCAUCAGUUUUGUCCAGAAAUUUCCCGAAGAUUGCUGGUUUCUGAAUUUUAGUUGCGGCUUUCCUGCAAAACCAUAAGAAAGAAAGCAUCAUGUUACAGUGGCACUUGCAGGAUGAAACAGAUCCGUUUUUGUACAGAGGAAGGUGGUCAAGGGAGGGGUCACCUCAUCAAAAACUGCCGUUAUCUAUAACGGAGCAAGACUGGCGGGAGGGAACAAAAAUAACGGCAACAAGUAACGGAAUUUUGAAAGUCAUCCAUACAGAUUGUCAUCACCAAAUAUAGGGGAGCUCCAUCUACCGACCAGUCUUCUUACAUCAACCAAAACAAAAAUAAAAACCCAAUCUUUGUCUCGGAAUCUCCUUUCUUUCAGCUCUUCCACUUCUCCAAUCUCUAAACAAUCAGAGGGAAGGCCAAAAAA
Molecule: long non-coding RNA, 1139 nt
Organism: Tarenaya hassleriana
Lineage: Eukaryota; Viridiplantae; Streptophyta; Magnoliopsida; Brassicales; Cleomaceae
Exons: 3
Source: RefSeq, a predicted model, not a curated record